This 468-nucleotide ribosomal RNA is filed under the name uncultured bacterium. RNAcentral describes it as "partial 16S ribosomal RNA". It matches the Rfam family "Bacterial small subunit ribosomal RNA", at positions 28 to 507 of the family's 1533-position model. The record is from RNAcentral.
GACGAACGCUGGCGGCGUGCUUAACACAUGCAAGUCGAACGGAAAGGCCCUGCUUUUGUGGGGUGCUCGAGUGGCGAACGGGUGAGUAACACGUGAGUAACCUGCCCUUGACUUUGGGAUAACUUCAGGAAACUGGGGCUAAUACCGGAUAGGAGCUCCUGCUGCAUGGUGGGGGUUGGAAGGUUUCGGCGGUUGGGGAGGGACUCGCGGCUUAUCAGCUUGUUGGUGGGGUAGUGGCUUACCAAGGCUUUGACGGGUAGCCGGCCUGAGAGGGUGACCGGCCACAUUGGGACUGAGAUACGGCCCAGACUCCUACGGGAGGCAGCAGUGGGGAAUAUUGCACAAUGGGCGGAAGCCUGAUGCAGCAACGCCGCGUGCGGGAUGACGGCCUUCGGGUUGUAAACCGCUUUCGCCUGUGACGAAGCGUGAGUGACGGUAAUGGGUAAAGAAGCACCGGCUAACUACGUG